Molecule: ribosomal RNA, 297 nt
Filed under: Triticum aestivum (bread wheat)
Lineage: Eukaryota; Viridiplantae; Streptophyta; Magnoliopsida; Poales; Poaceae
Description: partial small subunit ribosomal RNA
Source: RNAcentral
AUGAUUAAGAGAGCUGUAUUUGCAAGAGAAUUAGGGGUUCCUAUUGUAAUGCAUGACUACUUAAUUGGGGGAUUCACCGCAAAUACUACUUUGGCUCAUUAUUGCCGCGACAAUGGCCUACUUCUUCACAUUCACCGUGCAAUGCAUGUAGUUAUUGAUAGACAAAAAAAUCAUGGUAUGCAUUUCAGUGUAUUAGCUAAAGCAUGGUAUAUAGGACGGACAUUUGGGACACCUAGGUGCUUGGGCACCUUGCCUACAAACCGUCGGAUUACAUUAAGAUGUGUGCACUUGUAUUAG